UACGUAGGGCGCAAGCGUUGUCCGGAAUUAUUGGGCGUAAAGAGCUCGUAGGCGGCUUGUCACGUCGGUUGUGAAAGCCCGGGGCUUAACCCCGGGUCUGCAGUCGAUACGGGCAGGCUAGAGUGUGGUAGGGGAGAUCGGAAUUCCUGGUGUAGCGGUGAAAUGCGCAGAUAUCAGGAGGAACACCGGUGGCGAAGGCGGGUCUCUGGGCAGUAACUGACGCUGAGGAGCGAAAGCGUGGGGAGCGAACAGG
RNAcentral lists this ribosomal RNA (253 nucleotides) under uncultured bacterium. RNAcentral describes it as "partial 16S ribosomal RNA". It matches the Rfam family "Bacterial small subunit ribosomal RNA", at positions 524 to 776 of the family's 1533-position model. The record is from RNAcentral.